UAUAUAUAUAUAUAUAGCAAUAUGUUUAAGGUUCAGGUAUAGAAUAUCAAAAAGAACAUCUAAUCAUCUGUCAGUUUAUACUACAGAAAUGAUUGCCAUAUUUUUGGCUCUUCAGUGGGUUGAAUACAUUAAUAUACCAGAAGUAUAAGACUCGUUUUCAGCGCUGACAAGUUUAAAGAGUGGUAAAUCAUCAACUAGACAAGACAUUUUGUAAGACAUUUUACAGAUUUUUUUCAGAAUACAAUCAAAAACAAUUAUUUAUUUUGUAUGAUACUGGCACAUAUAGGUAUAGAAGGUAAUGAAGUGGUGGAUCAGAUAGCGAAAUUAAAAUUGCGUAAAUUAGAAAUAAAAAGGGUCUUUAAAAAGCAUUAAAAGAUAUGUGGCAAAUGAAAUGGGAUGGUGAGAAUAAAGGACGGCAUUUAUAUAAUAUUCAAAGAACAGUUGGAGAUGAGAGGAGAAUUUGUGGGAAUAGAAAGGAAGACAGCAUAAUAUCUCACCUUAGAAUUCGACACACUGCACUUAACCAAUCUUUAUUUAUAAUAGGUAAACAUGAGUCUGGACUUUGUGUAAAAUGUGAUCUUCCUGAAACAGUUGAACAUAUUUUAAUAAAAUGUAAAUGAUAUGAUAACAAAAGAUUACAACUUACAGAACACUUAAUAUAGAAAUAAAUCAGAUCUCACUUCAGAAAUUGUUAGAAAGAUGUGGAUAUAGAAAUUCUUCACAUAUUAAUUAUCUCAAAGAUACAGAGGUAAUAAAAAAGGUUAUUUGCUUUCUUUUUCCUUUUUUUUUUUUUUUUUUUUUUUUGUUAAUUUUCAUUACCGUCGAUGCUACACAACUUCAUCCUAGUAGGUGGCAGUAAAUGCACCUAAAGCUGAUUUGCCAACCGCCAUAAAACGUCAAAGAAGAAGAAGAGCGUGUGUUGAUGAAUAUAUUUUAGACUUAGGCAAGUAAAUAGGAAGUAUAUUGAUGCUUAUUUCAUUUUGGGAGGAGAUUUCAACGAAUGCAUAGAUGAUUGUUUGGACAGAUACCCCCCUAGACUUGAUGGUGGAAAAAAUAAUGACUUAAUUUUUUCUCUUUGCACAGAUCUCUCCCUGACUGAUGCAUGGCGGUUCUUUAACCCUUAUACAAAAGAUUUUACCUGGUCAAAUAAAACUUUAUCUCUUAGAUCCAGGAUUGAUUUAUUUUUAAUUUCUUCUUCUAUUCUUAGAUAUUUAAAAGAUAUUUCUCACACCAUUGCCCCCUUAUCUGAUCAUAAGUUAGUUUUUUUUUAAAGAUAAGUGACGUCCAGGAUAAUCCGAGACUCAGGGGUUACUGGAAACUUAAUAAUACCUUGCUAAAGGAUCAACAGUUUAAUCAUAGUAUCAUCAAGCUUAUCAAACAAUUAUUUACUGAUUUAAAUGGGGAUUAUAAAAAAACAUGGGAGUUCUUUAAAUAUAAAGCCAGACAUACAGCAGUUAAAAGAAGUAAAGAAAUUAAAAAGAGUAAACGUCAAACUGAUUCAGAGUUGGUUAAUAAACUUAAUGAAUUAUUGACUAAAAGUAAAAUUACAGAAGAAGAACAUUUAGAACUAAAAAAGUUAAAUUUGGAGCUUGAUAAAGCCUACUUAGAUUUGGCUAAAGGUGCAUAUACAAGGUCUCGUGCUAAAUGGUUGGAGGAGGGGGAAAGCAAUUCUAGUUAUUUUUUUUGCCCUGGAAAAAAGGAACGGUCAGAGGAAAGCUCUCUCUGCACUAAACAUUGAUGGAGUCAUUUCUUAAGACCAAAAAGUAAUAUCUGAUUUUGUUGCAAACUUUUAUAGCACUCUUUAUACCUUUAAUUUCAACCGUAAUAUUUCUGAGAAAUGUAUUGAUUUAAUUAAACACCAUAUUAAAGUUAUUGAUCGAGAGUAUAGUCAAAUUUGUGAUUCUCCUUUAUCAAUUGAUGAAAUCAAGCAAGCUCUACAUAAAAUGAAAAAAAGGUAAAUCCCCUGGGAUUGAUGGGCUCUCGGUAGAAUUUUAUCUCCAUUUUUGGGAGUUUAUUAAAUUACCAUUAUUUCAUAUGUAUAAUGAAUGCAUCAGUCAGGGAGAUAUGACGGCUACUAUGAAACAGGGAGUCAUCUCUCUUAUACCCAAGCAAGACAAGGAUCCUUUAAUAAUCGACAAUUGGCGACCUAUUACUCUGUUAACAUUAGACUAUAAAAUAUUAGCCUCUGUCUAUGCUAAAAGAUUAAGUUAUGGUUUAGACAAUAUCAUUUCAUUUCAGAAUCUCAAUCUGGUUUCAUGAAAGGCCGUCACAUUUCUAACAACAUGACUUGCUGGAUUAUUCCGAUUUAAUUCAUUCUGAUGGUCUCAUACUUUUUCUUGACUUUCAUAAAGACUCCAUAGAACAUAAAUUUAUUUUUCGUACUCUAGAAUUAUUUGGAUUUGGUAAAGCAUUUAUGGAGACUGUAUCCAUGUUUUAUAGAGGCAUUAACAGCUCAGUAAUUGUGAACUUUGACACUUCUAAGAGGUUUAAUAUAUAUCGUGGAGUCAGACAGGGCUGUCCAAUCUCCCCAUUUUUAUUUCUUUUAGCCACAGAGUUACUCUGUCUAAGAAUUAAACAAGAUGAAAGUUUGAAAGGAAUUUCAGUUUUUGACAGGGAGUUCAAAAUAUCACAGCUAGCAGAUGACACUACGCUGUUUUUGCAGGACAAAUGUCAGUUACCAAAAGCUCUGGAUUUGGUUGAACAAUUCUCAUGUGCGUCAGGUCUAGAACUUAAUACUUCGAAAUGUGAAAUUAUGACAAUUCAUGAUAGGGAUGAUAUAGUCUUAGGAGGCAUCCUAGUUAAAAAAAAAGUGUAAAAUAUUUAGGAAUUCAUAUCAGUAGAAAUUUAAUCAGUAGACAUCAUUUAAAUUUUUCUGAUAAAAUUAUAAAAACGAAACAGAUCUUUAAUAUCUGGCUUCAGAGAGAUCUUACAUUAUAUGGUAGAGUUCUUUUAUCUAAAGUUGAAGGGCUCUCUCACUUUGUAUAUUCUGCUCUUUCUUUGUUUGUCAACGAUAAAGCUAUAAAGGAAAUUAAUAAAAUAUUUUUGGAUUUUAUCUGGAAAAAUAGACCGUACAAGUUAAAAAGAGAUGUGCUUACUAACUCCAGAAGCGAAGGUGGCCUUGAUUUUUUGGACUUUGCAGACACUGUAAACACCUUUAAAGUAAACUGGCUGAAAAGAUGCCUUGCAAAUCCAAUGUCAAUGUGGUUUUUUAUCCCAAAUAAGAUAUUUGACCAACUUGGUGGCCUAUCUUUCUUACUGAAAUGUAAUUUUCUGCCUGGUAAGUUACCUAUUUCCUUAUCUAACUUCCACCAUCAAUGUCUUCUUUCCUGGAAAUUGUGUUUUGUCCAUGGAUUCUCCCCCCAUAAAGUUCUCCUUUGGAAUAAUGCUGAUAUAACGGUUAGAAAUAAAUCUCUUUUUUUCCAUAGAUGGUUUAAUAAUAACUUGAACUCUAUUCUAUCUGUGUUUGACAAGUUUGGUAGUAUUUUAACUUACGAACAAUUUAUGAAUCUUCAUAAUUUUCCAGUCCCACCAAAGGAAUAUUAUAAUUUGAUAAAAGCCAUCCCAGUAGGUUUAAUUCAGUUAAUUUCAAGUCACCUUAAAUUCAGUAAAGGCAACAGCGUUUAUCCGGCUUUACGUUUGGGGGGUAUUGGUAUUUUAGAUCGGAAAUGCAAUAACAGACAUAUCCGUAAAAUAUUUCAGACAAAAAGAAAGAUUGUUCCAAGAGGGAAAUUCUAUUGGGGUUCCUUUAUAACAAAUAUAAAUUGGAGAAAGGCCUGGCUCCUGCCAAGAAAAUUUUGCAUUUCUAAUAAGGUAAAGGAGAUCCAUUAAUAAAAUCCUUCAUAAAAUCGACCCUGUUAAUCUGUCUGUCUCAAAAUAUUCUAAUGUCGAUGAAUCAUGCUCGUUUUGUGGUUUUGUGGAGGAAACAGCUGCCCAUUUGUUUUUUGAUUGCGGUGUCACCAACAAAUUAUGGGUUGACAUAAGCACCUACAUUUCUAACCUUACAAAUGUGUCCCACAUUUUUAUCCUCAAAGAUGUUAUCUUUUAUUAUGAAAAUCCAAAGCUAUUAUCUGUUGAAUAUGUUGUUAAUUUUCUUAUAUUGAAUGCAAAAUUUUUCAUUCAUAAACAGAAAUGGCUUAAGUCUCCUUUGUCUUUCCCCCAUUUUCUUAUGGAAUUGGACUCUCUUGUUUCAUCUCUUAGACUUACAAAGAACAAAAAGAGUAGCAAGUUUUUGAUGUAUUAUGACAACUUUUCCUAAAAGAAUGUAAGUUUAUUUUUGCACUUUUAUGUAUCAAUAAUACUAUAAUUUUAUAUGCAAAUCCAGAAUGUCUAUUUUAUUUUAUGUUUGCUUCUCAUUGGAGUGUAUUUAUAUCUCGCUUCCCUGUGUUUUUGUAUAUUUGUACAAGUUUUUUUUCUUGCAAUAAAAAAAAAGAAAAAAAAGAAAGAAAUAUAUUUUAGAAAGGCAAGAGUUUAAGAAUCAGCUACGGGAAAUAGGUAUAUUAUAAUAUAAUGUAAAUAAUAUAGUAACAUAUGGAAAUAAUGACCCAGGACAGAGAUAUUUGUUUAAUUUUCUAAGGAGAACUGGACUGGAAAGACGAGUUUAAAUAAAAGUGAGUAAGCUAGAGUGAGACAACAGAUGGUAGUAAUGCAACACUUUGGAUGCCAACUGCCAUAAAAAAUCCAUUGAAGCAGCAGAAGAAGAGCGUGUGAUGAAGGGGAAAAAACGACUGUUUGCUGGUGUUUUCUGAGGACUUCACAAAUUCAUGAUUCCGAUGAAGGAGAUUUGGACCACUUUAUCCUUAAUCUUCAUAUUCAGACUUUUAUUUGAACGGCUGUGUGUCAAUUUCAUGUUUGUAUAUUAAAUUGUAUUAUUGUAAAUCAAAAAUCUUUAUUCACACAAUGCUCUGCCACUGAGCCACAGGAACACUGUAAAUUUAAUACAAUGAAAGCAAUGGAAAGAAAUCUCUCAUACAACCCACCAAAAAAAAAAAAAAAUGCAUUCUGUCUCUCUCUCUCUCUCUCUCUCUCUCUCUCUCUCUCUCUGUAUUAACUCUGAGAAUGAAGUGAAAUUUACAAAAAAGAAAAAGCUCCAUUCUCCCCAAAUGUACAAGAUACAGAUAUCACUAUUUGGCUGAAUUUACAGUCUGGUCACUGUUGCGUUUUGCUAAUUUACUAGGUUUCAGUUGUGCAUCAUUUUUGUCCUCCAGUUCCAUAAAUUUUUCUUCUUUAUCAUUUUCUGUCUGUGUCUCGCUCAUGUUUUCCUCAUCCUGGUUUUUCCUUUUGCUGUCCAUUUUCUGGUUUUCUGUUCCUCUCAUAUUUCUCUCCUUUUUGGUCCCGUUCCCUGUCCUUUGGGCUGUUAUCUCAUCUGUCUCUCGCUCUCGUUCUCCUUUACGGUGUCUUUCUCUGUCUUUUGGACUGUUGUCUCUUCUGUCUCGAUCUUGCUCACCUUUUCUGUCUCGUCUGUCUUUUGGGCUGCUGUUUCUUCUGUCCCUGUCCCUCCUGUCUCUGCCUCUGUCAUCUUUUCUGUCCCCAUUAAAUCACUUUUAUUGUCACAUCACCAGACAAAUCAAUUUAACAUAUAGACAUAGAGACCUCACUGUUGUUAAUGCCAAAGAAUUUAAAGCUGUUUACCCGCUCCACAUGUGUCUGGUCGAUGUUGAUGGGUAUGUGUUCUCUGCUCUGUCUCCUAAAAUCCACCACUAGCUCUUUGGUCUUUUCGAUGUUGAGAGAGGUGGUUCUCCUGAUACUAUUUAGUCUUUCUAUUUCUGUAGGCUGUCUUAUCAUUCUCGGUAAUCAGGCCUAUCACUGUUGUGUCGUCAACGAAUUUGACGAUGACGUUGGAGCUGUGUGUGGCUGCACAGUCAUGUGUGUACAGGAGUAGGCUGAGGACACAGCCCUGAAGAGCACUGGUGUUGAGCGUCAGACUCAGCGGGGAUGAAGUGUUGUUGCCCAUUCUGACCACCUGACUUCUGCCUGUCAGGAAAUCCAGGAUCCAGCUGCAUGGAGAUCUGUUUAUUCCCAGAGUCUGGAGCUUUGCAACAAGUGUGGCAGGCACUAUGGUGUUAAAUGCUGAGCGGUAGUCCACAAACAUUCUCACAUAGGUGUUCUUAUUUUCCGGGUGGGACAGAGCAGUGUGUAGUGUGAAAGUAAUAGCAUCGUCUGUGGAACGGUUGCUACGAUAUGCAAAUUGUAGCGGAUCCAAUGAGGCAGGCAGAACAGAGCAGAUGUAGUCUGACGAGUCUCUCAAAACACUUGCUGAAGAUGGGGGUCAGAGCAACGGGCCUCCAGUCAUUUAAGCAUGUGAUUUAUUUUUCUUUGGUAUGGGCACAAUGGUGGAUUUUUUUGAGGCACGAGGGAACCACACACAGGUAGAUGGAGAGGUUGAAAAUGUCUGAAAACUCCAGCUAGUUGGAAUGCACAUGGCUCGAAGCACAUGGCCCAGGACGCCAUCAGGACCUGCAACCUUGCGGAAAUUCACCCGUCAGAAGGAUCUUCUGCAGCAGCCACGGGGGCGGUGUGUGGAUGGCAGAAAUGAGCGAAUCGCACUUAGGGUUCAGCCUAUGGUUUUUGACCUGUGGGGGGCAGUACGCCUAGCGUCUAAACUCGUAGAUCCUCAAGAAGAAGACCAGUACAUAUAACACGAGGCGAAAUCAGGAAGGUCCUUUCUGUUCUGAACCAGCAAAGAACGAGAGCGAGUUUGGGUUGAGGGAAAAAACGAUUGUUUGCUGGUGUUUUCUGAGGACUUCACAAAUUCAUGAUUCCGAAGGAGAUUUGUACCAGUUUUUAUCCUUGACCUUCAUAUUCAGACCUGUUUUCUUUGAACUGCUGUGUGUCAUAUAAAUAUAAUGUUUGUAUGUUAAGUGUAUUAUUGUACCUCAAGUCCUAUUAAAAGUUUUUAUUCAA
This is a long non-coding RNA of Carassius gibelio (silver crucian carp), 6900 nucleotides long. RefSeq lists it as uncharacterized. Lineage: Eukaryota; Metazoa; Chordata; Actinopteri; Cypriniformes; Cyprinidae. The transcript has 6 exons. The record is from RefSeq and is a predicted model, not a curated record.